UCCUACUUUUAAAAACAAACUACAUACAUAUCUCACAUUUGCGAGGACUACUUCAUCACAAGCAAAAAAUCGCCAUUGGUAAAUAAAGUCUGUCUUCUAUAACCACGAUGAAAAGAAAAGCUGGGCGAAAAAAUUUGAGACUGCAGAACUGGAACACUCUAUUUGAAGACAGUGGCUGCUGAGUGCUGAGCUGCAUCAAAUCUAUCAGCAUCAUGUAACUUCGAUCAGGAACAGACUCCAUUUCAUUUCCGACAACUAGCACCUGUUUUCCCUAGACUUACCAAGUAUUAAGUAACUGCAUUAGUAUUAGGUUAAAUUAAAGGCCCUACAUCGAACAAGUCUAACAAUUAAAACUUAAAUGCAAGAGUGCACAAUUUAUCACUACAUAUCUUCCUCUUUUAAUUCUAAUCAACACACGGUUUCGUCUUUGUUUCACCCAAUCGUGCUGAUAAUCAGUAAUCAUGCACUCUGCACUCUAACUUCGAGAUGUUUCAAAAGGGCUCCCGACGAUUUGAAUUAUAUCAAUAUUUUCUUUUGAUACAUAGAUACUGAUUGGGAGGUUCAUCAUACUAUUCUUGUCACAUGGUAACGAUUAACGAUUAGCUGAUCAGCUUCCAGCAUCGACAGGCCGAAAUCCAUAAAUAUAAUCAGUUGUAAUAAUAAUUAUGCACACCUAUAAUUAACGAUUAUCCAUCUGCCGAUGAUCGAUUACCAUUUAAUAUUUAUCAUCGUCCGGAUCAUCAUAAUAUUUUAAUUUAAAGUUACAAUUGAACGGUGUUAAGAAAGAUAAUUUAAGAGAAAUGUUUUGAAAGUGCCUGAUUUCGAGUAUAAGAUCUGUACUGAUACAUUAAUUUUCAGAUUGUUAUUAUAUAGUUUAUUUGUAUUUGUUAUAUUAUCUUAUCCGCACAAGUUCGGAAGCCAUCUGAACGGUAUUGCCAGACACAGGCAUAUAUUUAUUUUGGGGUAUCAUGCUCUCAGAAAUUUCAACUCAGUCCGAUAUUAUAGUUAUACUAACCUGCAUUGCAUAAGGUUAAUUGUCUCUCAGUCUAGUGCAUAGACCUUUUAUUUUGCAUAAACCCUUUAUUUUGAUUGGGAAAACUUUAGUUUAAUGUGGUUACCGUCUCUAAAGUUGGCAUGAUAGUUAAUAAACUCUUAUCUAUUAUGUCACUGAAGAUGACGCCUUUCAACAUGUUUGACGAUAGCCUGUAGAUUGAUAGUUUGAUCUCAGUAUUUACAACAAUUCAUCUAGUUCGAUUGAUUCAAAGGGAAACAAAUUCCUCUCUUAUCUAUUAUGACUAUAUUUAAAUUCAAUCCUGUAAAGUAAUACUCCUUUUUUAGUAAUUUA
Long non-coding RNA from Bolinopsis microptera, 1345 nucleotides. RefSeq lists it as uncharacterized. The record is from RefSeq and is a predicted model, not a curated record. NCBI's taxonomy places the organism in Eukaryota, Metazoa, Ctenophora, Tentaculata, Lobata, Bolinopsidae. The transcript has 2 exons.